Molecule: long non-coding RNA, 125 nt
Organism: Empidonax traillii (willow flycatcher)
Lineage: Eukaryota; Metazoa; Chordata; Aves; Passeriformes; Tyrannidae
Exons: 3
Source: RefSeq, a predicted model, not a curated record
UCUCUCCUGGCAGUGCCAAGUUAUCAUAGGAAAAGACAUUUCUCAGCAAUGAAAUGAGUUGAAUGUCCAGAAAGCUGGUGCUCAGAGUGAACCAGAUGGAUUUGCUGCCCAUCAGGUUUUAGCCU